GAUGAACGCUAGCUACAGGCUUAACACAUGCAAGUCGUGGGGCAGCGGAUACUUAGCUUGCUAAGUAUGCCGGCGACCGGCGCACGGGUGAGUAACGCGUACCGAACCUGCCCAUCACACAGGGAUAGGCUUGCGAAAGCAAGAUUAAUAUCAGAUGGUCUCACUUUUAUGCUUGUAUGAUUGAGUAAAGCCUUCGGGCGGUGAUGGAUGGCGGUGCGUCCCAUUAGGUAGUUGGCUAGGUAACGGCCUACCAAACCUUCGAUGGGUAGGGGGUCUGAGAGGAAGGCCCCCCACAUAGGAACUGAGGUACCGUCCAAACUCCUACGGGAGGCAGCAGGGAGGAAUAUUAGUCAAUGGGCGAGAGACUGAACCAGCCAAGUAGCGUGCGGGAUGACGGCGCUUGUGGUCGUAAUCCGCUUUUAUCAGUGAAUAAAGUGCACCAAGUGUGGUGUCAUUGCAGGUAGCUGAAGAAAAAGGACCGGCUAACUCCGUG
Molecule: ribosomal RNA, 493 nt
Filed under: uncultured bacterium
Lineage: Bacteria
Description: partial 16S ribosomal RNA
Rfam family: Bacterial small subunit ribosomal RNA
Source: RNAcentral